Molecule: long non-coding RNA, 602 nt
Organism: Acanthopagrus latus (yellowfin seabream)
Lineage: Eukaryota; Metazoa; Chordata; Actinopteri; Spariformes; Sparidae
Exons: 6
Source: RefSeq, a predicted model, not a curated record
AGAGAGAGAGAGAGAGAGAGAGAGAGAGAUCCUUACAAACAACUCACGGCAUCCAGGGCGGCUGCCUGCGGAAGUGGGCGCGUAGACGCAGUGGUGACGUGACGCACAGGUAAAGCAGUUAAAAAAAAAAAAACUAUAGAAGUGGCACAGAGGGCAGCCCAAGCCAAGAUAUGACCCCAGCAGAGGGGAGGCCAGUGAUGGAGGGGAUCCAGGGAAGGACGGUAACCGACUCUGUCCCAGCCACAGAAACUGUCCGCUUCAUACAAGGGGGAAGGCACCUCUGCAGCUGCAGAAUGCACUUCUGAAGAUGAGAAGACUGUGUCACUGGACUCCAGAAGGCUUGAGGACCCAGAUGCUGCACAGUCCCCUAAGCAGCCUGGUAACAUUACUUCACAAACUGUCAGAAAACUGUAUGCUAAGCACCUGGAGAAACAGAUAGAGCUAGCAGACAUUAAAAUCAAAUUAAAGAAGAGAAAGCUCCAAGAAAUGGAACUGGAGCUUGAGUUUAAUCGCCAAACACUGAGGAGACUGGACCUAGAAAUCAAGAAACUAGAAAGAGGAGAUCCAAGCAACCAAGAAAAAUGACAAUGCCAAUAAAAAAA